CGGUCCAGACUCCUACGGGAGGCAGCAGUAGGGAAUCUUCCGCAAUGGGCGAAAGCCUGACGGAGCAAUGCCGCGUGAGUGAAGAAGGCCUUCGGGUCGUAAAACUUCUGUUAUAAGAGAAGGAACAAAUUGUAGAGUAACUGCUACAGUCUUGACGGUAUCUUAUCAGAAAGCCACGGCUAACUACGUGCCAGCAGCCGCGGUAA
Molecule: ribosomal RNA, 206 nt
Filed under: Aerococcus viridans
Lineage: Bacteria; Bacillati; Bacillota; Bacilli; Lactobacillales; Aerococcaceae
Description: partial 16S ribosomal RNA
Rfam family: Bacterial small subunit ribosomal RNA
Source: RNAcentral